Molecule: ribosomal RNA, 422 nt
Filed under: uncultured bacterium
Lineage: Bacteria
Description: bacterial SSU rRNA
Rfam family: Bacterial small subunit ribosomal RNA
Source: RNAcentral
UAGGGAAUUUUGCGCAAUGGAGGAAACUCUGACGCAGCAACGCCAUGUGUGGGAUGAAGCAUUUCGGUGUGUAAACCACUGUCAGCAGGGAAUAAAUGGUCUCUUCGGAGGCAGUUGAAUGUACCUGCAAAGGAAGCCCCGGCUAACUUCGUGCCAGCAGCCGCGGUAAUACGAGGGGGGCAAAUGUUGUUCGGAAUCACUGGGCGUAAAGGGAGCGUAGGCGGGCUCUUAAGUUAGGUGUUUAAUCCCGGGGCCCAACCCCGGACAGGCACCUAAAACUGGGAGUCUUGAAUAGUGGAGAGGACGGCGGAAUUGGGGGUGUAGCGGUGGAAUGCGUAGAGAUCCCCAAGAACACCAGUUGCGAAGGCGGCCGUCUGGACACAUAUUGACGCUGAGGCUCGAAAGCAUGGGGAGCAAACAGG